AUUGAACGCUGGCGGCAUGCUUUACACAUGCAAGUCGAACGGCAGCGCGGGCUUCGGCCUGGCGGCGAGUGGCGAACGGGUGAGUAAUGCAUUGGAACGUGCCCAGUAGUGGGGGAUAGCCCGGCGAAAGCCGGAUUAAUACCGCAUACGACCUGAGGGUGAAAGCGGGGGACCGAAAGGCCUCGCGCUAUUGGAGCGGCCGAUGUCGGAUUAGCUAGUUGGUGGGGUAAAGGCUUACCAAGGCGACGAUCCGUAGCUGGUCUGAGAGGACGACCAGCCACACUGGGACUGAGACACGGCCCAGACUCCUACGGGAGGCAGCAGUGGGGAAUUUUGGCCAAUGGGGGCAACCCUGAUCCAGCCAUGCCGCGUGCGGGAAGAAGGCCUUCGGGUUGUAAACCGCUUUUGUUCGGGAAGAAAUCCUCUGGGCUAAUACCCCGGGGGGAUGACGGUACCGGAAGAAUAAGCACCGGCUAACUACGUG
RNAcentral lists this ribosomal RNA (484 nucleotides) under uncultured bacterium. RNAcentral describes it as "partial 16S ribosomal RNA". It matches the Rfam family "Bacterial small subunit ribosomal RNA", at positions 28 to 507 of the family's 1533-position model. The record is from RNAcentral.